GACGAACGCUGGCGGCGUGCCUAAUACAUGCAAGUCGAGCGAAGUUUUUCUGGUGCUUGCACUAGAAAAACUUAGCGGCGAACGUGUGAGUAACACGUAAAGAACCUGCCUCAUAGACUGGGACAACUAUUGGAAACGAUAGCUAAUACCGGAUAACAGCAUUAACUGCAUGGUUGAUGUUUAAAAGUUGGUUUUGCUAACACUAUGAGAUGGCUUUGCGGUGCAUUAGCUAGUUGGUGGGGUAAAGGCCUACCAAGGCGACGAUGCAUAGCCGACCUGAGAGGGUGAUCGGCCACACUGGGACUGAGACACGGCCCAGACUCCUACGGGAGGCAGCAGUAGGGAAUCUUCCGCAAUGGGCGAAAGCCUGACGGAGCAACGCCGCGUGAGUGAAGAAGGAUUUCGGUUCGUAAAGCUCUGUUGUUAGGGAAGAAUGAUUGUGUAGUAACUAUACACAGUAGAGACGGUACCUAACCAGAAAGCCACGGCUAACUACGUG
Molecule: ribosomal RNA, 499 nt
Filed under: uncultured bacterium
Lineage: Bacteria
Description: partial 16S ribosomal RNA
Rfam family: Bacterial small subunit ribosomal RNA
Source: RNAcentral